AGUGUAUAGUAGAAGCAGCAGCAGCAGCAGCAGCAGCAGCAGCAGCAGCAGCAGGAGCUAGGAAUCUCUUAAUUGCUUUGUGCUUGUCAAGAUUAUGCAACUUUCCAGAAUUCAAGAUCAUGGAAAACUGCCAGAAGGAAAUGGGUCUUCUCCUCUCCCAAAUGGUCCCAUAACUAGUCUGGCCACCUUGAGCCAUCCAAGAGGAGAAUGUGGUCAGGGACCGUGACUCAGCUUAAGAAGCUACAUUUAUAUCUAUAUCUACACACAUGUUCUACCGACUAUGACCACAC
RNAcentral lists this long non-coding RNA (290 nucleotides) under Homo sapiens (human). Its description in RNAcentral is "HSALNT0317646". The record is from RNAcentral. Lineage: Eukaryota; Metazoa; Chordata; Mammalia; Primates; Hominidae.